This 1196-nucleotide long non-coding RNA is filed under the name Dicentrarchus labrax (European seabass). RNAcentral describes it as "lncRNA (ENSDLAG00005034847.1)". The record is from RNAcentral. Lineage: Eukaryota; Metazoa; Chordata; Actinopteri; Moronidae.
UGUUACUGUGUGUGUUACGUGUGUAAAUUAACUUGAUCAACGUGCACCAGAGUUAACACUAGAGCUACUGUGAGAGAGAAAUAGUCAAACUGCAGGGAUUCAUUAGUUUAGUAUUAUUGUGUAACUUUGAUUAGCACCGAGCAGCUGGUGUUGCUCACUAGGUUGUUUUGUGGAGUCAAACCGCAACGAAUAAAAGUUUUCUGAUCUGUUUAUUUAGCGUUACUGAAGUACUGCUAUUACUGACGAUAUAAGUGUAGGUCCAGUGUAACAUCCUAUACUCAUAUAAUCUCCUAUUGUAUUAUAAACACUGAGGCUCACUGCUAAAUGUCUGUUAUUGCACCGGGAACUUGUCACAACAUCAGUUACAGUGACCUGAUGAAGCUCAGGUGUUCCUGGACCCAUCAGAGGACAGAGACAGCUGCAGCAUCAGCAUCAGGACAGUCUGGGUAUCCAAAGGAAGACUCAUCAAGAUGAACACUGACUGCAGAGCUCCAUUACCAGCUCACACUUCAGUAUACUAGAAACCAUAAACCUUGAUGGAGAACAUGAUCUGCACAGUUUACAUAAAAGUUCUAGCUUUGUUUCUUAACAUGUGUAACUGGAAUAUGAAUGAAAUAUAAAUAAAGUGUUUUACUUUUAAGAAGAGUUUUUGUCAUUUUUAAAUUCAGUAAUAAGUGUGGUUUUAUAUAAAUAACAUGUUAUUUCAGAGGUUUUAUGAAGAUUUCCUGGAUGUACAAGACUUGAAAACCUGAUUCGUGUAACAUCUAUCAAUAUGAAAAUGUGGAACUUAAACCUGUAUUAAUGACUGUAAGCAACACAAUACAUUACUGUCUCACAUUCAAACUUUAUUAUAUUGGAAGAUAAAUUACAUCAUAAUAUAUAAUAUAAAUGAUAGAAUAUUCAGUAUAUAUACAGUAUUUUUAAUGGGGUUCAAACAUAAUUGCAACUUUUACACAUAUCUGAAGGUGAACUUUGGUAAUAAUACUUUUAAGUUAAAAUAUCAGACUAUGAAAUAUGGAUACAGUACAGUUAACAGUUGGUUACUUGGCAGUUUUUAAACCACAUGAACAAGUUACUUUAUUAGAUGAGUGAUUCCUUCAGUUAUGUUGACAUGUUGUACAGGAUAAAGUAUUCCAGGUUUCUGUUUCCAUGGUCUCAGUAAACUAAUGGUUAUAAAGAAUAUAACAGAUGGGAGG